UACGUAGGCAGCAAGCGUUGUUCGGAGUUACUGGGCGUAAAGAGUGUGUAGGCGGUUCUCUAAGUUCCGUGUGAAAUCUCCCGGCUCAACUGGGAGGGUGCGCGGAAAACUGGAGGGCUUGAGUAUGGGAGAGGAAAGCGGAAUUCCUGGUGUGGCGGUGAAAUGCGUAGAUAUCAGGAGGAACACCUGCGGUGUAGACGGCUUUCUGGACCAUUACUGACGCUGAGACACGAAAGCGUGGGUAGCAAACAGG
RNAcentral lists this ribosomal RNA (253 nucleotides) under uncultured bacterium. Its description in RNAcentral is "partial 16S ribosomal RNA". It matches the Rfam family "Bacterial small subunit ribosomal RNA", at positions 524 to 776 of the family's 1533-position model. The record is from RNAcentral.